This 569-nucleotide ribosomal RNA is filed under the name uncultured Gammaproteobacteria bacterium. RNAcentral describes it as "bacterial SSU rRNA". It matches the Rfam family "Bacterial small subunit ribosomal RNA", at positions 812 to 1381 of the family's 1533-position model. Lineage: Bacteria; Pseudomonadati; Pseudomonadota; Gammaproteobacteria. The record is from RNAcentral.
UCGAUUUGGAGUUUGUUGCCCUGAGUGAUGGGCUCCGAAGCUAACGCGAUAAAUCGACCGCCUGGGGAGUACGGCCGCAAGGUUAAAACUCAAAUGAAUUGACGGGGGCCCGCACAAGCGGUGGAGCAUGUGGUUUAAUUCGAUGCAACGCGAAGAACCUUACCUGGUCUUGACAUCCACAGAAUCUAGCAGAGAUGCGAGAGUGCCUUCGGGAACUGUGAGACAGGUGCUGCAUGGCUGUCGUCAGCUCGUGUUGUGAAAUGUUGGGUUAAGUCCCGCAACGAGCGCAACCCUUAUCCUUUGUUGCCAGCGGUUCGGCCGGGAACUCAAAGGAGACUGCCGUUGAUAAAGCGGAGGAAGGUGGGGACGACGUCAAGUCAUCAUGGCCCUUACGACCAGGGCUACACACGUGCUACAAUGGCGUAUACAAAGGGAGGCGACCUCGCGAGAGCAAGCGGACCUCACAAAGUACGUCUAAGUCCGGAUUGGAGUCUGCAACUCGACUCCAUGAAGUCGGAAUCGCUAGUAAUCGUGAAUCAGAAUGUCACGGUGAAUACGUUCCCGGGCCU